Molecule: ribosomal RNA, 279 nt
Filed under: uncultured bacterium
Lineage: Bacteria
Description: partial 16S ribosomal RNA
Rfam family: Bacterial small subunit ribosomal RNA
Source: RNAcentral
UGCCAGCCGCCGCGGUAAUACGGAGGGGGUUAGCGUUGUUCGGAAUUACUGGGCGUAAAGCGCACGUAGGCGGGAAAUUAAGUCAGUGGUGAAAGCCCAUAGCUCAACUAUGGAAUUGCCAUUGAAACUGAUUUUCUUGAAUGCGGUUGAGGUAGGCGGAAUAUGUCAUGUAGCGGUGAAAUGCAUAGAUAUGUCAUAGAACACCAAUUGCGAAGGCAGCUGGCUAGACCUUAAUUGACGCUGAGGCACGAAAGCGUGGGGAGCGAACAGGAUUAGAUA